AUGGCUCCUAUGGGGGUGGCGCACCUUGACCCCCACAGUAUGGAGGCCAUCGACAGCUCGAGCUCAGUGGUCAUCAAGGAGGAUGAGGACGAUACGGUGGAGCACGAUGAUGGGUUUAAGCGGAGAGCAGUAUGUGGUGGCAGCAGUAGCGCGGCAGGGGGUGGAGGCUGGAAGGUGUGGCGCGGGGAGGAGCAUCACGACUUGUGGCAGAUCAAGGACCGUCGUCGCGGAGCUACUUCCAUAUCCACUGGCAUCGUCGUCAGGUCACCUUCCCCUGAAGUCAAGCACGCCCUGCAUCUAGACACGACGCUCACCCACGAUACGGAGAGGAGGCACACCCUCAUCGACCUAAAUCUAAUGUCGAGCAAUCUCAGGGCGGCGGACGACGAAUUCCUUAUGCAGGGUCAACAAGAAAGGAUAGUGUAGUGACUCGCGG
Molecule: long non-coding RNA, 436 nt
Filed under: Oryza sativa Indica Group (long-grained rice)
Lineage: Eukaryota; Viridiplantae; Streptophyta; Magnoliopsida; Poales; Poaceae
Description: lncRNA OsMH63_05G028710
Source: RNAcentral